GACGAACGCUGGCGGCGUGCUUAACACAUGCAAGUCGAACGGAAAGGCCCUGCUUUUGUGGGGUGCUCGAGUGGCGAAAGGGUGAGUAACACGUGAGUAACCUGCCCUUGACUUUGGGAUAACUUCAGGAAACUGGGGCUAAUACCGGAUAGGAGCUCCUGCUGCAUGGUGGGGGUUGGAAAGUUUCGGCGGUUGGGGAUGGACUCGCGGCUUAUCAGCUUGUUGGUGGGGUAGUGGCUUACCAAGGCUUUGACGGGUAGCCGGCCUGAGAGGGUGACCGGCCACAUUGGGACUGAGAUACGGCCCAGACUCCUACGGGAGGCAGCAGUGGGAAAUAUUGCGCAAUGGGCGGAAGCCUGAUGCAGCAACGCCGCGUGCUGGAUGACGGCCUUCGGGUUGUAAACCGCUUUCGCCUGUGACGAAGCGUGAGUGACGGUAAUGGGUAAAGAAGCACCGGCUAACUACGUG
Molecule: ribosomal RNA, 468 nt
Filed under: uncultured bacterium
Lineage: Bacteria
Description: partial 16S ribosomal RNA
Rfam family: Bacterial small subunit ribosomal RNA
Source: RNAcentral